RNAcentral lists this ribosomal RNA (253 nucleotides) under uncultured bacterium. RNAcentral's name for it is "partial 16S ribosomal RNA". It matches the Rfam family "Bacterial small subunit ribosomal RNA", at positions 524 to 776 of the family's 1533-position model. The record is from RNAcentral.
UACGGAGGGGGCUAGCGUUGUUCGGAAUUACUGGGCGUAAAGCGCACGUAGGCGGAUAUUUAAGUCGGGGGUGAAAUCCCGGGGCUCAACCCCGGAACUGCCUUUGAUACUGGGUAUCUGGAGGUCGAGAGAGGCGAGUGGAAUUCCGAGUGUAGAGGUGAAAUUCGUAGAUAUUCGGAGGAACACCAGUGGCGAAGGCGGCUCGCUGGCUCGAUACUGACGCUGAGGUGCGAAAGCGUGGGGAGCAAACAGG